This is a long non-coding RNA of Pristis pectinata (smalltooth sawfish), 1285 nucleotides long. RefSeq lists it as uncharacterized. The transcript is spliced from 2 exons. The record is from RefSeq and is a predicted model, not a curated record. Lineage: Eukaryota; Metazoa; Chordata; Chondrichthyes; Rhinopristiformes; Pristidae.
UGGUUGUUAAGAAAAGAGCAUUCAGUUUCCGACGUGUGACAGUGUCUGGUCAUUGUGCAUUCAAUUGAUGGUACAAUUAAUGUAAAGUGAGGCGUACUGAUUGGAUUUCCUGUGUGUAUUUUUAAGAAUAUUAUAUCUUUGAGAUUAUAAAAGAAGUUUUUUUUUCCCCCCCGGCUUCGGCGAAAACGCUGUACUCAGCCGGCCCGAAGAAGGCACCGAGCAGGCACUGCAGCCCGAGCGGGAGGCGCGAUGAAGGUUCACAUGGGGGCGGCGGUGAAACGCCCGGGCCCGGCCCAGGCCCCAGCUCCAGCUCCAGCUCCGGUCCCGCUCAAGGAACCUGAUCCAAAGGCUGUCAAGGAAUGUGCCAUGGAGCUGAGAAACAUCGGGGAUCUGUUUAAUUUCCUCCACCUCAUGCUAAACACCGUCAACAAGAUGAUUCAACUGUCCACCUGAACACCAGAGUCAAGGCUACAACGCCAUAAAGUGGUCGGAAGAAGUGGUAUCAUCUUUCUUUAACUGUUCUCAGUUGGAAGAAUUCAUGUCUUGGCAUGUCAGCAACGGAAAACAGAUUGCAUUGUAAAGAGUGACGAAGUUAACGAAUGUGGAAGAGAAGAAAAAUAUUGUGAGGAUCUGUUUUUAGAAGUAAAAUAUGAUGUGAGGAUGAGCAGUAAAGCUACAAGUCCGGGAUAAAACAAAAUCUGAAAGUGGGAAGAUUUAGCUUAGAAAUAUGUAACAUUGCAAGAGCUGCAUUGUAAAAAUGCAAGCUGAACCAUACAUUAGCAUGUUACAAACAGAAUCUUUUGCCCAAUAAUUAAAUUUGCAUACAUGUUGGAGAGGUUUAUAUUGCUUCUGGAGAAAUAGUUUCUAAAUGUGGAAAGAGCUGCAAAUAUUAAAAAGAAUAAAACAGGAAACAUGGUUUAAGGCUUUGUGUAAAUCAUGAAAGAUGUGUUUGGAUUUGACUGGUUUGUUUUAUGAAAGAUUAUACUUAUUGUGUGUCUUUUGCGAUACAGUUAAAUGUCUUUUGAGAUGUAUUUUCCAUUAGUAGUACAAUAACAAAGUUAGUUAAAGUAGAGAUGUAUUGGUGCUGUCUUUGUAUGAGCAUUAGUUAAUGGGAGGAAACCUUUUUAAAAGGUCUCCAAUUUAAAAGUUAAUGGCAUUAAGAAUGAAAUAUUACCUUUGUAACUUUAUCAUCUAUUUCAUUUUGUAUUAUGACAAAACAGCAUACUAAGACAAAGCUAUUUGAUUCUGUAGUUUUUAGAAAUGCAUUAAAUCUUCUUCAAUUGUU